Molecule: transfer-messenger RNA, 368 nt
Filed under: uncultured Luteococcus sp.
Lineage: Bacteria; Bacillati; Actinomycetota; Actinomycetes; Propionibacteriales; Propionibacteriaceae
Rfam family: transfer-messenger RNA
About the family: Bacterial tmRNA, also known as 10Sa RNA or SsrA, is named for its dual tRNA and mRNA-like properties.
Source: RNAcentral
GGGGGUGACUGGUUUCGACUUGGGACGGUAGUCCCAGGGGAAGCGGGCCGUGAAUCCAUGGUCAACACGUAAAUGUUCCUUGGAAACCAAUAACUGCCGACACCAAUCGCGCAGACUUCGCUCUCGCUGCCUGAGCAGUGACCGAAGGGUCAGCCCGGACUCUGCCUUCGGUCCGGUAACUGGCCUCAUCCAGAAGGCUUGCUGAUCAACCUGCGUGGCAGGGGUUGAUCGGGACUUAACUGCUACUGGGCCUGUCCACGACGUGCUGAAGAGAGCGUGGGGGCCGAGAAAACGUCAACCUCAGCUGCGCCCGGAGAAGACCUGGUUCGCCUCUUGAGGACGCGGGUUCAAUUCCCGCCACCUCCACC